GGACGCUUAGCUCAGCUGGGAGAGCAUCUGCCUUACAAGCAGGGGGUCAUAGGGUCGAGCCCUAUAGCGUCCACCA
Molecule: transfer RNA, 76 nt
Filed under: Mogibacterium sp.
Lineage: Bacteria; Bacillati; Bacillota; Clostridia; Peptostreptococcales; Anaerovoracaceae
Description: tRNA-Val
Rfam family: tRNA
About the family: Transfer RNA (tRNA) molecules are approximately 80 nucleotides in length.
Source: RNAcentral